CAUGAAACUUCAAGGCUGGGAAAUCACCAUCCCUGGAGGUGUUCAAGGAAUGACUGGAUGUGGCACUCGGUGCUCUGAGCUGGUUGGCAAGGGACUGGUGGGCAAAAGGAGUUCCAGCCAGAGGUGUCAGCGUGGUCUGGCUUCUGUGGCAAUCCUUGGUCCCCAGUGUCUGUGCAGUGGGACAGUUCCUCUACAGCUUUUUGAGGCUGUGACGUGCUGUGGGGGCAGGAGGAUCUUCCCACUUCAGAAACGGAAGAAAAAGCAGGUAAAGGGUUUGGGCAAACAUGAAUUGGGUCUGGCAGAGGCCCAGCAGGGCUGAGCCUCCAUCCCUGACUUCCACAGUGCCAGAUUUCCCCCCCAUGGGCUACUGAGCCUUGGAGAGCCCCAAGCAGAGUUCAGAAGCAGUGGAGGCAGCUCAUGGCACAGGCUCAAGCAGGAGCAGGCUGGAGAUGGGAGCAGUGAGGAGAGGGGAUGGCAGCAAGGAACAGGGGCCAUGCUGUCCUCUCCCUUCCCUUCCCUUAGUAACAUACCCCAAAUCCUCCUGCAGAAGUUAAAAUUGACCCACAGUUCAUUCCCAUCCCUGCCUGGGAUCUCCCCAUGUCUGCAGGGAUCAUGGCAAUAUGCAUGAAAUGAAACCCAGCUAUGGAUGAGGAUCAAGAGCGAGGGGCUGCCUGCUCUGUGCCCCCCUUUUACCUACAGCUGACCCCUCACUUGGCCAUCGAUUCUGCAGGUUAUUAUAUCCCUGAAUUCCACGUUAUUGUAUCUAAAUCCUGCAGCUGAGAAGAGAUCCUGCCCUCCCUAGCCAGGGAUGCAUGCUGCGACAUCACUCAGAGAGGGAUGGGAUGAGUGGGUGCAUCCCCAUGCUCGGGAGGGAAGGGGUGAGUGCAUCCAGACGGGAAUGGGAUAAAAAUCAGUUGCACUGAAGCAGGAGGUGAUAAAAGCAGAGGGUUGGAUGUCUGGUGCGUGGGGAUACAGGCAGGGUGACUGCAGCCAGCCUGGGACUGGGUCCCACUGGGCUCUGCGGGAUCCAGGAACGAGCAGCAGCUGCUGCCGAGGGCGGCCGGAUCCAGGUUCCGUGGAGUCCUGCGGAUCUCCCCGGCCGUGGGAGGCGAUGAAGACGGACGUCUCGGCCCGGGUGCCUCCCGGCACGGCUGUUCCCCGGUGGGGGCCAGCACAGGCACCGGGGAGUCCCCAUCCCUCCGGAACGCAUCGGGGGCCGGGGGUGAACAACACUCCCGCUGCCACAGGGAGACGGCGGGGAUCCUUCCCUUCUCUUCUGCUGGCUGUAUCCUUCCCUGGAGCAGCCAGGGCGAGCUGCCCACGUCCCACCGAGCGGCCGGGAGCAUCCCGGGGCCGGGAGCAUCCCGGGGCCGGGAGCAUCCCGGGGCCGGGAGCAUCCCGGG
This is a long non-coding RNA of Parus major (Great Tit), 1403 nucleotides long. RefSeq lists it as uncharacterized. NCBI's taxonomy places the organism in Eukaryota, Metazoa, Chordata, Aves, Passeriformes, Paridae. The record is from RefSeq and is a predicted model, not a curated record. The transcript has 3 exons.